GAUCAGUGGCGAACGGGUGAGUAACACGUGAGCAAUCUGCCCCUGACUCUGGGAUAAGCGCUGGAAACGGCGUCUAAUACCGGAUACGAGCUGCGAUCGCAUGGUCAGUAGCUGGAAAGAAUUUCGGUCAGGGAUGAGCUCGCGGCCUAUCAGCUUGUUGGUGAGGUAAUGGCUCACCAAGGCGUCGACGGGUAGCCGGCCUGAGAGGGUGACCGGCCACACUGGGACUGAGACACGGCCCAGACUCCUACGGGAGGCAGCAGUGGGGAAUAUUGCACAAUGGGCGGAAGCCUGAUGCAGCAACGCCGCGUGAGGGAUGACGGCCUUCGGGUUGUAAACCUCUUUUAGCAGGGAAGAAGCGAAAGUGACGGUACCUGCAGAAAAAGCGCCGGCUAACUACGUGCCAGCAGCCGCGGUAAUACGUAGGGCGCAAGCGUUAUCCGGAAUUAUUGGGCGUAAAGAGCUCGUAGGCGGUCUGUCGCGUCUGCUGUGAAAACCCGAGGCUCAACCUCGGGCCUGCAGUGGGUACGGGCAGACUAGAGUGCGGUAGGGGAGAUUGGAAUUCCUGGUGUAGCGGUGGAAUGCGCAGAUAUCAGGAGGAACACCGAUGGCGAAGGCAGAUCUCUGGGCCGUAACUGACG
Molecule: ribosomal RNA, 641 nt
Filed under: Microbacterium sp. B65.2
Lineage: Bacteria; Bacillati; Actinomycetota; Actinomycetes; Micrococcales; Microbacteriaceae
Description: bacterial SSU rRNA
Rfam family: Bacterial small subunit ribosomal RNA
Source: RNAcentral